GACGAACGCUGGCGGCGUGCUUAACACAUGCAAGUCGAACGGAAAGGCCCUGCUUUUGUGGGGUGCUCGAGUGGCGAACGGGUGAGUAACACGUGAGUAACCUGCCCUUGACUUUGGGAUAACUUCAGGAAACUGGGGCUAAUACCGGAUAGGAGCUCCUGCUGCAUGGUGGGGGUUGGAAAGUUUCGGCGGUUGGGGAUGGACUCGCGGCUUAUCAGCUUGUUGGUGGGGUAGUGGCUUACCAAGGCUUUGACGGGUAGCCGGCCUGGGCGGGUGACCGGGCACAAUGGGACUGGGGUACGGCCCAGACUCCUACGGGAGGCAGCAGUGGGGAAUAUUGCACAAUGGGCGGAAGCCUGAUGCAGCAACGCCGCGUGCGGGAUGACGGCCUUCGGGUUGUAAACCGCUUUCGCCUGUGACGAAGCGUGAGUGACGGUAAUGGGUAAAGAAGCACCGGCUAACUACGUG
RNAcentral lists this ribosomal RNA (468 nucleotides) under uncultured bacterium. RNAcentral's name for it is "partial 16S ribosomal RNA". It matches the Rfam family "Bacterial small subunit ribosomal RNA", at positions 28 to 507 of the family's 1533-position model. The record is from RNAcentral.